GUACCCUUUUAAAUUAAUCCGAGAACAACAAUCGUCAACCACAAAUCCUAGAAAAUAUUACAUAGUAAAAGAAUAUAGGUUGGGGAAAAAGAAGGAUAUGGAGAAAGAAAGGCAAAAAGAAAUGUCUCGUCCAUCAAAGAGUGCUGGAUUAGAACCAGGUUCUGUCAGAGCCAAGACCUGGUAGAGGACACAUCAGUAAAGCUACUUUUUUAAAUACAAUUGAAGUUACUAUCAGCUUAAUAAAUAUUUAUUAUGAAAAUUGUAUUUAUUUUAUAAUAAUAAUAAAAAGCGGGCAAAACUUGUAACAUGUCAAUUUAUUACAAACAAAGUCAAUACAUUAGUAUGUACAACUACUCUGACACAUUUAAUAUAUAUGUACAUUAUGUAUAAAUAAUAUGCACACACAUUCAUGACUCACAU
Bombus impatiens (common eastern bumble bee) is the source of this 420-nucleotide long non-coding RNA. RefSeq lists it as uncharacterized. The record is from RefSeq and is a predicted model, not a curated record. The transcript is spliced from 2 exons. Lineage: Eukaryota; Metazoa; Arthropoda; Insecta; Hymenoptera; Apidae.